CGGAGGUGGCAAGCGUUACUCGGAAUUAUUGGGUGUAAAGGGCAAGUAGGCGGUCUAAUAAGUGGGUGGUGAAAUACUCUGGCUCAACCGGAGAACUGCCUUCCAAACUGUUAGACUUGAGUGUGACAGAGGAUAAUGGAAUUCUCGGUGUAAGGGUGAAAUCUGUAGAUAUCGAGAAGAACACCAGCGGCGAAGGCGAUUUUCUGGGUCACUACUGACGCUAAAUUGCGAAAGCUAGGGGAGCAAACAGAAUUAGAUACUCUGGUAGUCCUAGCCGUAAACGAUGAGCACUAGGUGUUGGCUCCUUUAGGAGUCGGUGCCGCAGCUAACGCAUUAAGUGCUCCACCUGGGGACUACGGUCGCAAGGCUA
This 370-nucleotide ribosomal RNA is filed under the name uncultured organism. RNAcentral's name for it is "bacterial SSU rRNA". It matches the Rfam family "Bacterial small subunit ribosomal RNA", at positions 526 to 896 of the family's 1533-position model. The record is from RNAcentral.